RNAcentral lists this ribosomal RNA (253 nucleotides) under uncultured bacterium. RNAcentral's name for it is "partial 16S ribosomal RNA". It matches the Rfam family "Bacterial small subunit ribosomal RNA", at positions 524 to 776 of the family's 1533-position model. The record is from RNAcentral.
UACGUAGGGUCCGAGCGUUGUCCGGAAUUAUUGGGCGUAAAGGGCUCGUAGGCGGUUUGUCACGUCGGGAGUGAAAACUCGGGGCUUAACCCCGAGCCUGCUUCCGAUACGGGCAGACUAGAGGUAUGCAGGGGAGAACGGAAUUCCUGGUGUAGCGGUGAAAUGCGCAGAUAUCAGGAGGAACACCGGUGGCGAAGGCGGUUCUCUGGGCAUUACCUGACGCUGAGGAGCGAAAGUGUGGGGAGCGAACAGG